CCUACGGGCGGCUGCAGUGGGGAAUAUUGGGCAGUGGGCGCAAGCCUGACCCAGCAACGCCGCGUGAAGGAAGAAGGCUUUCGGGUUGUAAACUUCUUUUAAGAGGGAAGAGCAGAAGACGGUACCUCUUGAAUAAGCCACGGCUAACAACGUGCCAGCAGCCGGGGUAACACAUAGGUGGCAAGCGUUGUCCGGAUUUACUGGGGGUAAAGGGCGUGUAGCCGGGCUGACAAGGCAGAUGUGAAAUUCCUGGGCUCAAUCCCGGACCUGCCUUUGAAACUGUUGGUCUUGAGUUUCGGAGAGGCAGGCGGAAUUCCUAGUGUAGCGGUGAAAUGCGUAGAUAUUAGGAAGAACACCAGAGGCGAAGGCGGCCUGCUGGGCGACAACUGACGGUGAGGCGCGAAAGCGUGGGGAGCAAACAGGAUUAGAUACCCUGGUAGUC
This 442-nucleotide ribosomal RNA is filed under the name uncultured bacterium. RNAcentral describes it as "partial 16S ribosomal RNA". It matches the Rfam family "Bacterial small subunit ribosomal RNA", at positions 338 to 795 of the family's 1533-position model. The record is from RNAcentral.